UACGUAGGGUGCAAGCGUUGUCCGGAAUUAUUGGGCGUAAAGAGCUUGUAGGCGGUUUGUCGCGUCUGCUGUGAAAUUUCGGGGCUCAACCCCGAACUUGCAGUGGGUACGGGCAGACUAGAGUGUGGUAGGGGAGACUGGAAUUCCUGGUGUAGCGGUGAAAUGCGCAGAUAUCAGGAGGAACACCGAUGGCGAAGGCAGGUCUCUGGGCCAUAACUGACGCUGAGAAGCGAAAGCAUGGGGAGCGAUCCGG
Molecule: ribosomal RNA, 253 nt
Filed under: uncultured bacterium
Lineage: Bacteria
Description: partial 16S ribosomal RNA
Rfam family: Bacterial small subunit ribosomal RNA
Source: RNAcentral